AUAAUAAAUUACAUUACAUACUAAAUAUCAUAAUACCUCAGUUGAAAGAGUCCGGUUACAAUGUUUGUAAAAAUAUCAAACACUUGAUACUUGUAAAUUUUUCAUCGUUAAAUCUAACAUCUUGACCAUUUAUACUCGUUAGAUUAUAUUAUUCAACAACUAGUCACUUAACCCUGAGGGCAUUCUAACAAUAUAUUUCGUAAUUUAAGGGUUGAAAAUUUACAAGUAUUAAUAACUUGUACUUUUAAAAGUAUAGGAGCUCAAUUCCAUUGAAAUAUAAUCUCAGUAGUCUCAUAUAAAAAUAAAAAAAAUAUAUUGCUGUGCAUUAGC
RNAcentral lists this long non-coding RNA (330 nucleotides) under Ananas comosus (pineapple). RNAcentral describes it as "long non-coding RNA (ACOM_LNC011317)". The record is from RNAcentral. Lineage: Eukaryota; Viridiplantae; Streptophyta; Magnoliopsida; Poales; Bromeliaceae.